RNAcentral lists this ribosomal RNA (606 nucleotides) under Vibrio crassostreae. Its description in RNAcentral is "bacterial SSU rRNA". It matches the Rfam family "Bacterial small subunit ribosomal RNA", at positions 931 to 1533 of the family's 1533-position model. Lineage: Bacteria; Pseudomonadati; Pseudomonadota; Gammaproteobacteria; Vibrionales; Vibrionaceae. The record is from RNAcentral.
GGUGGAGCAUGUGGUUUAAUUCGAUGCAACGCGAAGAACCUUACCUACUCUUGACAUCCAGAGAAGCCAGCGGAGACGCAGGUGUGCCUUCGGGAGCUCUGAGACAGGUGCUGCAUGGCUGUCGUCAGCUCGUGUUGUGAAAUGUUGGGUUAAGUCCCGCAACGAGCGCAACCCUUAUCCUUGUUUGCCAGCGAGUAAUGUCGGGAACUCCAGGGAGACUGCCGGUGAUAAACCGGAGGAAGGUGGGGACGACGUCAAGUCAUCAUGGCCCUUACGAGUAGGGCUACACACGUGCUACAAUGGCGCAUACAGAGGGCAGCAAGCUAGCGAUAGUGAGCGAAUCCCAAAAAGUGCGUCGUAGUCCGGAUUGGAGUCUGCAACUCGACUCCAUGAAGUCGGAAUCGCUAGUAAUCGUAGAUCAGAAUGCUACGGUGAAUACGUUCCCGGGCCUUGUACACACCGCCCGUCACACCAUGGGAGUGGGCUGCAAAAGAAGUGGGUAGUUUAACCUUUCGGGGAGGACGCUCACCACUUUGUGGUUCAUGACUGGGGUGAAGUCGUAACAAGGUAGCCCUAGGGGAACCUGGGGCUGGAUCACCUCCUUAU